GUGCUUGCUUCAGCAGCACAUGUACUAAAAUUGGAAUGAUACAGAGAAGAUUAGCAUGGCCCCUGCACAAGGAUGACAUGCAAAUUUGUGAAGUGUUUCAUAUUUUU
This 107-nucleotide small nuclear RNA is filed under the name Balaenoptera musculus (blue whale). The record is from RNAcentral. Lineage: Eukaryota; Metazoa; Chordata; Mammalia; Artiodactyla; Balaenopteridae.